GACAGGAUGAUCGGCGGUGGUUUCCCGCAAGGGGAUCAAAAGGGAACGCGGUGCGUGCACUCCAGCACAAUGCCGCGGCUGCCCCCGCAACUGUAAGCGGCGAGCCUGCGACCUAAGUCCACUGGGAGCUUGCGUGCUUCUGGGAAGGUGGUCGACGGCGAUGACCCGUGAGCCAGGAGACCUGCCACCGCAGGAAGUCACGC
RNAcentral lists this non-coding RNA (203 nucleotides) under Alphaproteobacteria bacterium. Lineage: Bacteria; Pseudomonadati; Pseudomonadota; Alphaproteobacteria. The record is from RNAcentral.